GGGCUUUCGCAAAUAUGAGGCCUGGCUUUCGCGGCCGGCUGAAGUAUUUUUUUCACCCAUGUCUUUUGCGCACUUGUUGUUUCCUGGGCGGGUUCGCCCGCCACCAGGACCAAACCAUAAACCUUUUUUUCUUAUGCAGUUUCCAUCAGCGUCAGUAAAAACAAUGUAAUUAUUACAACUUUCAACAACGGAUCUCUUGGUUCUGGCAUCGAUGAAGAACGCAGCGAAAUGCGAUACGUAGUGUGAAUUGCAGAAUUCAGUGAAUCAUCGAAUCUUUGAACGCACAUUGCGCCCUUUGGUAUUCCAAAGGGCAUGCCUGUUCGAGCGUCAUUUGUACCUUCAAGCUUUGCUUGGUGUUGGGCGUUUUUUUGUCUCCCUCUUUCUGGGAGACUCGCCUUAAAACGAUUGGCAGCCGGCCUACUGGUUUCGGAGCGCAGCACAUUUUUUGCGCUUUGUAUCAGGAGAAAAGGACGGUACUCCAUCAAGACUCUACAUUUUUCACUUUUGACCUCGGAUCAGGUAGGGAUACCCGCUGAACUUAAGCAUAUCAAAAGCCCGGAGGAA
This 564-nucleotide ribosomal RNA is filed under the name Bipolaris oryzae. RNAcentral describes it as "eukaryotic LSU rRNA". The stretch from base 177 to 330 matches the Rfam family "5.8S ribosomal RNA". The record is from RNAcentral. Lineage: Eukaryota; Fungi; Ascomycota; Dothideomycetes; Pleosporales; Pleosporaceae.